Non-coding RNA from Cajanus cajan (pigeon pea), 412 nucleotides. Lineage: Eukaryota; Viridiplantae; Streptophyta; Magnoliopsida; Fabales; Fabaceae. The record is from RefSeq and is a predicted model, not a curated record.
UCAAAGGCUACUUCUAACCAAGUUACUGCUCUUGAUAGAGCAAGUUCUUUCAAACCUUGUAAUCCAUUCUUCAUGGUUGUCAUGCGUCGAUCAUACCUCCAUUGUAAGGGUUCUUAUCUGGGUUUACCAUGUGAGUUUUGUAGGAGCUACAUUGAUUUGCACGAUCAGCAGAGACAUAUCAACCUUCAAGAGUUAAAUGGGAGAGUUUGGCCUUCAAGGUAUCUAAUCACGAAAAACAAUAGAAAUACAAAACCAAGAUAUAGACUCAAAAGUGGAUGGAAGGCAUUCGUCAAGCACAAUAAUUUGAAAGUUGGUGAUGUUUGCACCUUUGAGCUCAUUUGUAGAACUAAACUAACCUUACUGGUUCACAUCUUUAGAGAGACAGACAGUUCAAAUUGUUCAACACCUCAAG